CCUACGGGAGGCAGCAGUGAGGAAUCUUGGUCAAUGGGCGCAAGCCUGAACCAGCCAAGUCGCGUGAGGGAUGACGGUCCUAUGGAUUGUAAACCUCUUUUGUCGGGGAGCAAGGCCCGCCACGUGUGGCGGGAAGGAGAGUACCCGAAGAAAAAGCAUCGGCUAACUCCGUGCCAGCAGCCGCGGUAAUACGGAGGAUGCGAGCGUUAUCCGGAUUUAUUGGGUUUAAAGGGUGCGUAGGCGGAAGGUUAAGUCAGCGGUCAAAUGUCGGUGCUCAACACCGGCCUGCCGUUGAAACUGGUCGUCUUGAGUGAGCGAGAAGUAUGCGGAAGGCGUGGUGUAGAGGUGAAAUGCAUAGAUAUCACGCAGAACUCCGAUUGCGAAGGCAGCAUACCGGCGCUCAACUGACGCUGAGGCACGAAAGCGUGGGGAUCGAACAGGAUUAGAUACCCCUGUAGUC
Molecule: ribosomal RNA, 460 nt
Filed under: uncultured bacterium
Lineage: Bacteria
Description: partial 16S ribosomal RNA
Rfam family: Bacterial small subunit ribosomal RNA
Source: RNAcentral